This 253-nucleotide ribosomal RNA is filed under the name uncultured bacterium. RNAcentral describes it as "partial 16S ribosomal RNA". It matches the Rfam family "Bacterial small subunit ribosomal RNA", at positions 524 to 776 of the family's 1533-position model. The record is from RNAcentral.
GACAGAGGGUGCAAACGUUGUUCGGAAUUACUGGGCGUAAAGCGCGUGUAGGCUGUUCGGAAAGUCGGGUGUGAAAGCCCCGGGCUCAACCCGGGAAGUGCACUCGAAACUCCCGAACUGGAGUCCUGGAGAGGAAGGCGGAAUUCUCGGUGUAGAGGUGAAAUUCGUAGAUAUCGAGAGGAACAUCGGUGGCGAAGGCGGCCUUCUGGACAGUGACUGACGCUGAGACGCGAAAGCGUGGGGAGCAAACAGG